AUAAAAAAAAAUGUGCUUUUAAACAUUUAACAUCUUUUGGUGUGACAUUAUAAAUUCAUAAUCAUACAUGUAACAGUUAAAAUAAGCGGGGAGAGGGGGGGUUACUUUCAGCAAGGACGGCCACUACCAACAACCAAGCCCCGAAACCCAUAUCCCGAAGGCAAAUAAGUUGAGGUGUCAAGCAAGAAACAAUUUUUUUUCUGCUCUUGCCUCAUGUAUUUAACCCCUUUUUUUCUAAAUAUACUAGGCCUACACAUCAUAUCGGCAAAAAUAUUUAGGAGCCCCUCUUUUUAUUCCAUGAAAAGGGGAAAACUUAAUUAAAUUCUAAUAUAAGAUCUCAUAAUCACACUUAAUCAUAGUGAAUGUAAACAGUUUAUAUUUCCCAUCCUGCAUCGCUCUGUAGGCGCUUUAUUUCAUUGGUCAAUUUCCCGAGGCGCCAUUUUUGGAGGAUCGAGAAGGACGAAGAAGAAGGUGUAAGCAGCUGGUAAAUGUGAAAAGUUAAGAUGGUUUCACCACCCAGUGUCUUUAAGACUGUGAUAAUUGCAAUGGCCAACGAUGAAGGAUUAGUAGAGAAGAAAACUGUGUGACUUUAAAAGAAAACCAGUGAGAUAAAAUCAUAGAAAAUGUAUGAUGAUUCAGGAUGUGGUCAUUUGUGACAUUAAAACAGGAAUUGUCAUCACCAAUAGACGAAUUUCACAUUCCUAAGAGUUUUCUCCAAUUGUCGGCGUAUCGCUCAUUUUCCCCACUUUGUCCUUUGUCCUGUUCUGUGCAUGCCCUAAGACAGUGUCUACCCAUCACUCCAUCUGAUAUCACUUGUUCUGUGCAUAUUUCUCUCUCAAACUUAAACUACAGAGAGCCUGUGGAUAGAGGAUGAAGAGUGACCUUGGACUAAUUUUCUAGGUCAAAGAUCAUAGGUGAUGUGAAGAAAACCAGGAAACUGAUGUUGAAAGAAGUACUUAAUGACCCUUAUGAAUGGACUUAAAUGUGAAAGACUGUUCCAUUGUUUAUCUAAGAUAUAUGAAUUUAUUUAAUAUUUUGAUAUCAUUGUAAAAUUCAGUUACAGUUUUUG
Long non-coding RNA from Saccostrea cuccullata (small rock oyster), 1069 nucleotides. RefSeq lists it as uncharacterized. NCBI's taxonomy places the organism in Eukaryota, Metazoa, Mollusca, Bivalvia, Ostreida, Ostreidae. The transcript is spliced from 5 exons. The record is from RefSeq and is a predicted model, not a curated record.